RNAcentral lists this unclassified non-coding RNA (427 nucleotides) under Hevea brasiliensis (rubber tree). The record is from RNAcentral. Lineage: Eukaryota; Viridiplantae; Streptophyta; Magnoliopsida; Malpighiales; Euphorbiaceae.
GCUUAGUUGAGUUGAGUUGAGUUGCUUUUGUUUAUUAGGCUUGCAAAGACCUUCCGGUUUCUUGUGAAUUCUUUUGCCUUGGUGUUGCAAAGACCUCAGGACAUGAAAAUAUAAUGGCAUAAGUGAUAAUCUUUCUCAUCUGUGUCUUAAUCUGCUGCAAUUUAUUUAGUUUUCAAAAUUUUUAAUGCCAUUGUAUGUAAGAUGCUGAAUGAACCUUAGCUGGAUAUGCAUGUCCCACUCCAAGAAGAUAGAGAGACAGAGAGAGAGCCUUUAUGCAGAUAUUAAAAUGGGAUUCUAACUUCUUUAGACGUCUGCAAUUUUCUUCCGGAUAAUUUUAACUUCCAUGCAGCAGAGCGAAAUUAGGAAUUACUACUGCACUAAUGAAACCAUACUUGUCCUUAUCAGGUACUGCUCUCCAUUUGCUCAU